Triplophysa rosa is the source of this 2433-nucleotide long non-coding RNA. RefSeq lists it as uncharacterized. The transcript is spliced from 2 exons. NCBI's taxonomy places the organism in Eukaryota, Metazoa, Chordata, Actinopteri, Cypriniformes, Nemacheilidae. The record is from RefSeq and is a predicted model, not a curated record.
CAAAGCGGAGAAACACGAAAAGAACCGAACAAUAACGAAACAUAUCGAAUUUAAGACUGCGGCUGCGUGGCUUUCAUUUUGUCUACACAACACCUAAGAUUAUUCAGCGACUCUUCGUCUCCGUUUUCUAAUCGAUUCAUAUCAGAAUAUCAAGACAUAAUGUACGAGUCAUAAAAUGUUUGAGACAUAAAAAGGAUUUCGCAGAGCCACAUCACCAAACAUCCCGGAAGCAGAAACACAGCGCUGUGAUUGGUCUGCGCAAGGGAGUGUCUUCAAACUACAAGUGGCACUGAGUCCCGCAGAACUGUACACAAGGGAACUGUGAAAAAAGUUCUAAACGUACAAUCGUGCAAACCAAAAUAAAGUAGACAUGUCUGCUUGUAGAAAAUAAUAGGAACCGAUUGUCACUAUUAUUUUCUGUUGUGAAUUCAACAAUGGUCCGAAACAGGAGUAGAGGACAUGAUUUAAGAGUAAACGCAAUAGUUAAUCAUGGAAGGCAGUUAGGACGCAGUCUCCUUAUGCUGGUACACUAUAUUACAGUGUUUGUAAGUUUUGCAUCCCACUCUGUGAACUGUUUUGUGGGAGUGUUCAAGUGGACAUCAAUGUUUGCCAGAUACACAGUGGCAGUAUUUGAAUCCAUUCAUAGAAGCUUGGAUUGGUGGACCAGAAGACGCAGAAGGGAAGCUAUAAAGAAGAUAGUCUCCAGCAGUGACACUGAGUUGGAGUGAAGAAGAAUAUUAAGAUGCUAUGGAUUCAAAGAAGAUGUUCCUGGCAAACAAUCUGUUUUAAAAUAAACUUACCUUAGACCUUAAAAGGAGUCUACAAAAAAAGACCAAUAUCCUACAUUCAUACGAUCAGUCCAUGACAUUUCUUACAAAACUGCAGAACACUGUAGUACAGAAUCUGUGAAUCCAGUGAUUCUGAUUCAUUACAGUCUUGAGUUUUUGGUCAUUUCAAAGGGCUCAAAUCAAGCCCUGAUGGUUAAAGGUUCUGUUUUGAGUCAAAACCGUUGAAUUGCAAUUCCAACCACACCUGUUUUUCAGGUUCAACACAGCAUUGUUCAGAUGUCGUAACUGUUAUGAUAACUUGCAAAUUGUAUUUAGUUUUACCUCACAAUCAGGCUUUUGUCCAAGGAAACACUUGUUUAACAAUUUCACAUCCCCCCAAUUCAGUUUAGCUGCCAGGUCUGGUCAAUGUGAAAAAAAUUAUCUUUCAGGAGGAAAGCCUUUUUGGAGGAUCUAUUGACAGAAAUGAGAUAUAAUAUACAUAACUAUGUCUUCAGAGGUGUAUAAAGAGCUUACACAAUGAAGCGUUAUGUUGUUAUUACCUUAGAAUGAGCUAUUUCUAUCUACUGUACAUACACUUCUAUUAUAUGCAGGUCCCCUUGGAUAUAAUUCGCCAUGUUCUCUCAGCCGCCGUAGUGUUUCGAACGGGAGGGGUGGAGUGAGAGGUCGGUUGCAAUUCGCAACCUUGCCGCUAGAUUUCACUGACUGGACCUUUAAUGGCUUUAAUUCAAAAUAGUUAAAUAGAUGUCUUUGAAGUGAUCACAAUGGAUACUAUUCAACUAUAUCUCAGUGCAACUAGCAAAAUACUAUGAAACAACAGAAACUUUUUGGAACGUUUGGUUUGCUUAUGGAUUUGGCAGAAUAUUUAAUGAGUGCAGCUAUAACAUGAGCUUAUUAACUGUAUUAAAUGGUUUUAUUAUUCAAUUAUGAGUAGAUCUUUUAAGUCAGUACUUCAUCUGAGGCAGCUUUGAAUUUUGUUCGUCAUAAUAUCAAAAACAAAACAAAACUGACACUUAAGAAGAAAUGGAAAAAAAACACAUUGCAUUUCUUCAAGAAUUAAAUGCUGUGUUGUUAAAGUUGACAAGCUCUUUUUAAUACCUUUUUAUUGGUUAAAUAUUUGCAAAACCCACAGCCGAACAUGAAGGGUGACCGAUAAUGAUUUAUAAAAAAAAUCAUGAAAAUGAAGAUGCAAGGUUUCAGUCCAACAGUGACGAUUUGUAGCGCAAACACGGACUGCAUUCAAAAAAAAAGUUUUAGUCUAACUUUAAUUCUGACUUUUUAUACUUUCUUGUGACUUUUCCUGUUGCAUUCCAUACAACCUCCAUAUAGAUGCAUUUAAUUCCUGUUAUUAACUGUGAUAAAACUAUUAGAAGUGUCUACUGACCAGUGUAUUAUAUCUGUGGUAUGUCAUAUUUGACAAUCAAAGGGUAUCGAUGUAAAACAUGUACCAGUUUGUGAAAACUUUGAAAUUGAAACAUUUUUAUUUUUUAUAUUCAUUUUUUUAUAUCCUCACGUAUUGUGUUUAAUCCUUUAAUGCCAAAAUAAUGGACAGGUAUUAUUGUAUUGUAUAUCAGUUGAAACUAUGUCACCAUAGCACCAUAUUACAAUAGCGGAUACAUUUUCAAAUAAACAUUUGCAAAACACAAAA